RNAcentral lists this transfer RNA (75 nucleotides) under Saprospiraceae bacterium. RNAcentral describes it as "tRNA-Val". It matches the Rfam family "tRNA". Rfam says of the family: Transfer RNA (tRNA) molecules are approximately 80 nucleotides in length. Their secondary structure includes four short double-helical elements and three loops (D, anti-codon, and T loops). Lineage: Bacteria; Pseudomonadati; Bacteroidota; Saprospiria; Saprospirales; Saprospiraceae. The record is from RNAcentral.
GGGCUCUUAGCUCAGUUGGUUCAGAGCACUUGGUUUACACCCAAGGGGUCAUAGGUUCGAAUCCUAUAGAGCCCA